GUGGAGUGCUAAACCCUAACACAACACAGGCUUAAGCUGUCUGGCUUUGCUUCACCGUCUUCCAUGGCAGACCAACACCAACAAAACACCACCAUCUCCAAAGCCUUCCCUGUAAAACCCAAGCUAAAACCCAAACCCAGAACCCCAUCAAAAUCCCCAGAAUCCAAAUACUGGUCCUCCUUCAAGUCCCAUCAAAUCCAGAACCUAAUUUCUUCAAUACCUUCUAUCGCCUUCUCUCCUGUACCCUCUUCUCAUCUCUUCGCCGCCGCCAAUUCUGCCUCCCUCACUUUCUUCUCCUCUCAAACCUUUUCUCCUACCUCCUCCAUCUCCUCCUUCUCUGACGUCGUUUCUUCGUGCUCCUUCCGCUCAGAUGGAUCCCUUAUUGCCGCCUCUGAUCUCUCCGGUCUUGUACAGGUGUUUGAUGUCAAAACCCGGACCCCACUUCGUCGCCUCCGCUCUCAUACUCGUCCUGCCCGGUUCGUUAAGUAUCCUGUUCACGACAAGCUACAUUUGGUGUCUGGUGGCGAUGAUACGGUUGUUAAGUAUUGGGAUGUUGCUGGGGAGAGUGUGGUUUUGGACUUGCUGGGUCAUAAGGAUUAUGUGAGGUGUGGAGAUUGUUCUCCAGUCAAUGCAGAGAUGUUUUUUACUGUUACUGGGUCUUAUGAUCACACCGUGAAGUUGUGGGAUGUGAGAGUAGAGAGUAAAAAAUCAGUGAUAGAAGUGAACCAUGGGAAGCCUAUUGAGGACGUGAUGUUUUUGCCUUCUGGUGGAAUGAUUGCUACUGCAGGAGGCAACACUGUGAAGAUAUGGGAUUUGAUUGGGGGAGGAAAGAUGGUGCAUUCCUUGGAGAGUCAUAACAAGACUGUUACAUCCAUUUGUGUGGGGAAAAUAAUGGGGCAAGAGAAUGGAGAGGAGACAAUUCAGUAUAGGAUUAUGAGUGUGGGUUUGGAUGGAUAUAUGAAAGUGUUUGAUUAUGCCAAAAUGAAGGUUACUCAUUCAAUGAGGUUUCCUGCUCCGCUUAUGUCAGUUGGGGUUUCGCAGGAUUGUAUGGCAAGAGCAAUUGGAACAUCCAAUGGGAUUAUAUUUGGUGGGAAGAGGAAGAUGAAGGAAAAUGAGGAAAAGAGUGAAUUACGGGAUUUCUUGGGGCUAGGGAGUGUGGAGGAGCCGCAGAGGCGGAUUCUGAGGCCUACCUAUUUUAGGUACUUUCACAGGAGUCAGGGAGAGAAACCAAAUGAGGGUGAUUAUUUGAUAAUGAGACCAAAGAAGGUGAAAUUUGCAGAGCAUGAUAAAUUGUUGAAGAAGUUCAGGCAUAAGGAAGCUUUGGUUUCAGCAUUAACCGGGAAGAAUCCAGAGAAUGUGGUAGCUGUAAUGGAGGAACUGGUUGCAAGGAGGAAGUUGCUGAAAUGUGUAUCGAAUUUAGACGAGGAAGAGCUUGGAUUGCUGUUGGGAUUCUUACAUAAGUACUCAACUAUGCCAAGACAUUCUGGGUUGCUAAUGGGGUUAACAAGAAAGGUACUUGAGAUGCGAGCUGAUGAUAUUAGAGGUUCUGAUGCACUGAAGGGUCAUAUCAGAAAUCUCAAGCGCUCAGUUGAGGAGGAGAUCAGAAUACAAGAGUCACUGCAGGAGAUACAGGGCAUAAUUUCGCCAUUACUAAGGAUUGCUGGAAGAAGAUAAAGAUGGUAUCUUGCUUUUGUUUUGUAAGGU
Molecule: unclassified non-coding RNA, 1704 nt
Filed under: Hevea brasiliensis (rubber tree)
Lineage: Eukaryota; Viridiplantae; Streptophyta; Magnoliopsida; Malpighiales; Euphorbiaceae
Source: RNAcentral